CAGGAGGAGGCAGCAGGGGGUUGGCUGUUGCCGUGUAUCUGUCGAUAUGCACUGGGCUAGCCUCGGCAGGUGGUGGGCUUGGCUGAGGCACUAGCUCUUAGGUGGUUCGUGGUUGGUGGGAGAGAGAAUAGAGAAUAUAUGCGCAAGGGGAGCGGAACAAGAGAGGACGAGGGCAGUGGCGGGCAGCGUCCCUGCCGAGUAGAACCAAGGCAGCGCGCCUAGCACUCACCACCUGCUAAGCGGAAAGGUUUAUGUGCAGAUUCGCUUCCCUAAAACACCGGAAAACGAACACUGCAGACUUAGCCAACUACGGAGUCUAGGCAGUCAAAUACAGUAGACGAAGUACAAUCGUACGGCGACACCUACACUACAAAUAGAGGCCCCUUGCGGUGAGGACGACCAAGUGUUGCCCGGUGCCGGUUGCGGUUGACUAUAGAAGAGGUUGCUGCCAGCCACCAAUUCAAUUUCUUACGAAAGAACUCCGAAGGAGCAGAGACUAGUUUACUACAGGCACAACGAAAAACGAGUGUUCUACUACGACCGGGCAGAGGUUUGUAGUGUCUUUCCAUUAACACAACCAUUCGACUACUACGCGUACACCCGUGUCACGCAUAACAUGAUGAACUACAUGGUCAUGUAACCAUCCCAUCCCGCCGGAAACGGUACAACCCACGCGAGCGAACCGUCCGGUGCUCUGUUAUUUUUCAUAUAAACCACAACAAACGCCCCACCUCUAGCGUGCCCUUGUUAGAUAAACAAGAUAAAACGGGCCCAAGAGGUGGGACGGUACCACAGAGACAGGAAGAGGACACAAACUAAGGUACCGUAGUAGACUUCAUGUGGUGCUAGGAUAUGUAUCGUUUAUACACCUGUCCGGACCCGCGUCGCCGUUUAUGCAACACUCCUAGUUAAAUUGAUGCGUGCUUCCAUGUAGAUUGACGAAGAAAGUCGCAAUAUAGUUAAAUUUAAACUUCACUGGGUCUUUGUACUCGCGAAAAGACUUCCCAGUUAGACUUGACUGGAGCUUCAACGGCUAGGUUUAAUAGAGUUGACUGGAAAAUGCUGGAGCUUGACUGGAAAAUGCGAUAUGUACCACCUGGAAGUCAAACUAUGUUCCAAACAGUAUGGGCAUUAAAACAUGGGAACGUGGGGUUCUUACUUUUAUCCCUUUAAGAGUGCUCGGUUGUUGGUAGAUGAAUGCGUUGUGUCCGAUUCACUAGCACUCUUGAAAAUCAUUGAGGCGUAUAAAUAAAAUAGAAUGGUAUGACACAGGUAUCAGAACACCAGGAUUCUUCCGAUCAACGAACAAGAUGAGAUAGGUAAAGGACAACCAAUGGUACUCAUCAAGACAUACAUAUAUGGUAACUUUCUGAACUAAGGAAAGACAUAUUGAACAAUCAGAAGCAUUAAAUAAACAUAAAAUCAAUGACCUCGAACAGGUCUACAACGACGACGUAGUAUGAUUGGAGAGCACCUUUCAACCUAAGCAGAUACUCCUAAUGACCUCCGUCUAGAAGUAUAGAUUACUUCAACGUCUGUUCAAUACUAACAGUUACGGUAAAAGCUAGAACUCUUUGCAACGAUCACAGAACUAUAUAUGGUUUUGGACUUAACUUCUUAAUUUAACAAGUACAACUAUAUAAGACAUUCCACGUCCGCAACACAGCUCCUUCGGACCAAUCAAUCCGUUAAAGUCGAACGGCUAACGGACUAAUUUAACGUAAUACAUUCUAAUCUCUUAGGUCGCAUGCCAAAAAAGUAUCGAAUUUUACGAUACUUCUGGCUGAAUAAUACUUGACACUAGGUUAAAUAACUUAUGAGGGAGGCAGGUCUUUAUGAACAGCGUAUUUACCUACUUUUACCUACAUAGAUCUUAAUUUUCAUGUAGAUCUAUGUAAGUAAAGUUACUGUUCAUAAAAGCCUGCCUCCAUCAUAAAAAAAUGUCAAGAAACCUUAAGAAUAAAAAUACGAAUUGUUCUUAUACGACUUACAGCAAGAUUAAAUAGAAAUCAUUCGUCCGUUUAAGUUUAACCGACUUACAACAAAGUUCAAUCUAACCUAACCUCUUAGACGUACCGACCAGACUUAACCGAACUAGACUUAUAAAAACUAAACAGUUUGUUUAGACAUUAAAUUAAACAGAAGAUUGUAGACAGAUUGCUAUAGAGACGGAAGAAGCAGUUAAAAAAUGAUUCGUCCGAAUAAGUUUCACCCAAACAGUAAGUUUAAGUUAACCUAACCUCUUAGAACCCCGACACGAACUCAGACUUUAUCGAAACUCGACUUAUAAAAAGUUAAAUUUUCUAUUUUCUACUUAUUUACCAACUAGAAGUCGAGACUUGACCUUUCUCGUAAGGUCGUUUGUUUAACGACCCUUACUACCAAGCUGAGGUAGUUCUAGGAAGCAUUUUUCUUUACCCUACAUUUAAACUAGUGAGCGGUAAGAUAGGAGUACCACGGCUUCUUUAAGAUCUGCACACAUAAGUUCCUAGCCACCUGUUACUGAAAAUAACGUACCGUGAUAGACAAGAGGCAUUUUUCCCGCGUAUUAGACCGGAACUUCGCAUUCCUCGUGUUCCUCCUAACAGCCGUUAGAGGCAUUUUUCCCGCGUAUUAGACCGGAACUUCGCAUUCCUCGUGUUCCUCCUAACAGCCGUUAGUUCAUCUCCGCACUUACCCCUAUACCUCAAAACCUUACAGUAUAUCUUCCGGUUACAGAAAAUCUUCUAGUCUUAAAACAAACCGUACGCUGUAGAUUAUUGGACCGCUAGGUCCACUUAUCUCAAUACGUGGUAGACCGACGAGGCCCAUACAUGAGAUAUAAACACCCCACCUUCUACUUUCGUACAGGGUACGAGACUACCGAACGGGGCUCCUCUCGAGAUGCGUACCUCAACUUCCUUCAAACCUUAUAAGACCCCUCACUUUAGAAGUUGAAGAGUUCAGAGCUAACCUACGAAGAGAACAACCUAGUCAAUUGGAGUUGUAUGGAAUAAGUAUAAGAUCCCUCGAACCGUGAAUUCUUUACUAGAUUAACAAACUAUUCCCAUUGGUAAAACAAAGUUUGAAACGAUUAGAACACCUAUUGAUCACCAACAGCAAGAACAGAAUGGUAAGGUUACAUCUCAGCCAGGGUCACAGUUUCAAUUUCAUCAUCACCUACCCUAUUCAUGUGGAGCAUCAUAAGUACUCCAUACUGUUGGAGGUGGAAACCUAACAUUAUUCUAUUUACACCUACGAUUAAAACACCUUAGCCAGGGGUCGCAGCUUCCAUAUCAUCACCUACCCUAUUCAUGAGGAACAUCAUAAGUACUCCAUACUAUUGGAGGCGGAAACCUAACAUAAUUCUAUUUACACCUACGAUUAAAACAACUCUCAUAAACGCGACGCUCAGACCCCAACAAAGGUUUUUAAGUCAACCGCUGGAGGAAUGAAGGAGAA
Molecule: ribosomal RNA, 3441 nt
Filed under: Triticum aestivum (bread wheat)
Lineage: Eukaryota; Viridiplantae; Streptophyta; Magnoliopsida; Poales; Poaceae
Description: partial small subunit ribosomal RNA
Source: RNAcentral